GAAGCAAGCUGGGCAAUCGCCGGUGCUCGGUCGAAAGACUGCACGGGAGGAAAGUCCGAGCUCCGCAGGGCAGGGUGCCGGAUAACGUCCGGCGGGAGCAAUCCUAGGGACAGUGCCACAGAAAUGAGGACCGCCGAUGGUGUCGGCAAUGCCGGCAUACAGGCAAGGAUGCAACGGUGCGGUAAGAGCGCACCAGCAACCCGGGAACGGGUUGGCUAGGUAAACCCCACCUGGAGCAAGACCGGAUAGGAGUGCGCACGUGGUGGCCCGCCACGCACUCGGGUAGGUUGCUUGAGCCAAUUGGCAACAGUUGGCCUAGAUAGAUGAUUGCCACUCCGUUCGUGCGAGGCAGAC
RNAcentral lists this RNase P RNA (354 nucleotides) under Alicyclobacillaceae bacterium. Its description in RNAcentral is "Bacterial RNase P class A". It matches the Rfam family "Bacterial RNase P class A". From Rfam's summary of the family: Ribonuclease P (RNase P) is a ubiquitous endoribonuclease, found in archaea, bacteria and eukarya as well as chloroplasts and mitochondria. Its best characterised activity is the generation of mature 5'-ends of tRNAs by cleaving the 5'-leader elements of precursor-tRNAs. Cellular RNase Ps are ribonucleoproteins. Lineage: Bacteria; Bacillati; Bacillota; Bacilli; Caryophanales; Alicyclobacillaceae. The record is from Rfam by way of RNAcentral.